RNAcentral lists this long non-coding RNA (1606 nucleotides) under Olea europaea subsp. europaea. The record is from RNAcentral. Lineage: Eukaryota; Viridiplantae; Streptophyta; Magnoliopsida; Lamiales; Oleaceae.
UUAUAUGAAAAUAAAAACGAAAUAAAUCAAUCAAUUCUGGAAUUUGUGUUCACAUACAUCAAAAAUCCAAAACAAUAAUUAAACGUAGUAUUACAAGGUUCAUCGAUCUCCUAGUAGUAAUAAAUCUAGCCUAACAUGCUAAAAAGAACAAAACUUAAAAAUAUUUGAAGAAACGACAUCACCCGAAUCAAUCUUCAAUCCGAUCUUUACUUGGCGCGAUGUUGUUCUCUUGUUCUCUCCCUCGUUUCUCCUUCAAAAUCUCCCAAAAAUAUGUAAAAACGGCUUCCCCUAUGUUUUGGUCGAGUUUUUGUAUUUAUAGGACCCUAAAAUUGUUGUUUCCAUAAGAGUUUCGAAAGAAAAAGGAAACUAAAUUUUUCCUCAAUAUUUGCUCUAUGCAACCGCAUAGAGUAAACUUUUCAAGCCUCUUUGGUUUCAGUAUGGUACUAUGUGACCACAUAGUACUAUCAACUAUGGUAUAAGUGUGUUUUGGUCCUCCCACUUGCAUCCUUCACUUCUUAGCAUCUUCUCUUUAUUCUUUUUAUUUCAUCACCCCACGAUAUUGUCAAUUGGUAAUGGGCCUAAUCGAUUUCUCGAUUUGUCCAUCGGAUCAACUUUUGGAUAUUUGCACUUUUGGUCCCUGAACUUUCACUUUGCCUGUCUUUAGUCCUUUUUUCGCGUCCUUUCUCUUGAAUUUCACCAUAUUCAUCGUUGUUUCCUACAAUUCACAAAUGUACAAGAUUAAGUCACAAUUCAAUCAUUUUGCUCGUUUUUAAGUUAUGUUUGUGACCUAAAUAAGUGUGCGAAAAUACACUUAUCAAUUCUACUCAACAAUUGCUAACGAAACAAAUAAUCUCACAUGAAUGCAACUGAGUUUUGAAAUCCCACAUUCAAACUUAAGAAUAACAACACAUUACAAAGUUACAGCGGAAAGUGAUGAACAAAUAGAAGUCUCAUUCAAAAGGACAUGAGAUCCCUCAUUUGAGGUCUAACAUGCUCCCUUUCCCAUAGACAAAAGGUGCAUCAUUGCAGUACUGCUGCUGCUUAUAAUCUUGAUAUUCAUUGUUGUGUUUGAUUAUGAAGAAUUGGUGUUUAUAUUAUGAUACAUGCUCGUGUUCAUAAUGCUUCGUGGUUCUUCGGGCUUCUAUUCUUAUGCCAUUUACGAACACAGAGGAUAUGGCUGCAUUCAACCUCAAUGAAACCAGAAUUGCCUUCAUGCUUAGCAUACAAAAGUAGGCUCACUUAAGCAUAAUUCGUCUGGUAGCUUAACAAAAGUAGGCAUACUUAAGCAUACUCUAUACGAAAAAUACCCCUUUAUUGAAAAAUGAACAAGAUACCUUUGCCCAAAAAUUUAUGGAAAAAAUACCUUUGCCUAGAACAAAAUACCCCUCUUUAUGAAAAAUGAACUUAACAAUUAGACUCAAAAAUUUAUGAAAAAUCUCACUAAUUUAGGAAGAACAAGAAAUCAAAUACUUCAACUUUAUCAACAGUCAGGCUCCAUAACCAACAUACUUCAAAUAUGUCUAAAUAAAGAGAAAUAACACCCAAAUCAUGUAAACAAGUCUAAGACAGCUUAACCAUAAAUAAACCUUAAAUUUGAUAAAGAAAU